UGGGGAAUAUUGCACAAUGGGGGAAACCCUGAUGCAGCAACGCCGCGUGAGUGAUGAAGGUUUUCGGAUCGUAAAGCUCUGUCUUUGGGGAAGAUAAUGACGGUACCCAAGGAGGAAGCCACGGCUAACUACGUGCCAGCAGCCGCGGUAAUACGUAGGUGGCGAGCGUUAUCCGGAUUUACUGGGCGUAAAGGGAGCGUAGGCGGAUGAUUAAGUGGGAUGUGAAAUACCCGGGCUCAACUUGGGUGCUGCAUUCCAAACUGGUUAUCUAGAGUGCAGGAGAGGAGAGUGGAAUUCCUAGUGUAGCGGUGAAAUGCGUAGAGAUUAGGAAGAACACCAGUGGCGAAGGCGACUCUCUGGACUGUAACUGACGCUGAGGCUCGAAAGCGUGGGGAGCAAACAGGAUUAGAUACCCUGGUAGU
RNAcentral lists this ribosomal RNA (422 nucleotides) under uncultured Clostridium sp. RNAcentral describes it as "bacterial SSU rRNA". It matches the Rfam family "Bacterial small subunit ribosomal RNA", at positions 355 to 794 of the family's 1533-position model. Lineage: Bacteria; Bacillati; Bacillota; Clostridia; Eubacteriales; Clostridiaceae. The record is from RNAcentral.